Otolemur garnettii (small-eared galago) is the source of this 119-nucleotide ribosomal RNA. The record is from Ensembl. Lineage: Eukaryota; Metazoa; Chordata; Mammalia; Primates; Galagidae.
GUAUUGGGUUAUACCACCUUGAACACACCCAGUCUCGUUUAAUCUCAGAAGCUAAAUAGGGUCAGGCUUCCUUAGUACCUGGUUGGGAGACUGCCUGGGAAUACUGGGUGCUAUGGGCU